Non-coding RNA from Styela clava, 872 nucleotides. Lineage: Eukaryota; Metazoa; Chordata; Ascidiacea; Stolidobranchia; Styelidae. The record is from RefSeq and is a predicted model, not a curated record.
AUUUAGUUGCGUCAUCAAAGCUUUCUGGUAGCAAACAUGGACUUUGUCAAAACUAUUUUGUUUAUCUCUCUCAUCUGUGGCUUGGUUGGGGAGCCCAAAGUGCCGGCUGGAUUCUGCGUUUCCAAGAUCGUGAAUUGAAAACUCGUACAAGUUGGAGAUUGCAAGAGAGACGAUGGAUCUGAUAUCGUCAGAUUGAUCAAGAAGAGUCUUGAUGGAAAGAAAAAAGCUGAAAUUAAAUGUGACGUCACGUAUGAGACAAAAUGCUUCCGAGCAGUUGUGUAUGGUACAAACAAUGUCACCUUCAACGAUGGAAUAUCAAUCUGCAAAUCAAUGAACGGAAAGCCCGCGAAUAUUUACGACCUCGCGCAUUACCAGUCACUUCGCACUUACUUACGUUCACUGAUUUCUGCUUCUUCGACACAUAUUGCCAUCUGGACUGGGAUGGAGUAUAAGACAAAUCAGCUUUUGCUGGCAAGUGGAGGACCAACAUCUAUAGCAACUGAAGUGUGGUAUCCUGGUUAUCCGCAAUCCCAGGCAUCGUGGACAAAUGUCGGUGUUGAUGUUAAUAAAGAUCCAGAGUUUUCACGUCAGGGAAUGUACCAUGAUAAACCAUCCUCGUCACGCCAAGGUAUCAUCUGUGAAAUAUAAAACCAGCUCAAAACCUGACAGAACUUCGUUGACGGACUGAAUGAUAUAAACGACAAAGAAUUCUCACUUUUUAUUACUUAUAUUAUUUCUUUACUAUUAUUAACCGUAUAACCCAUGCCUUGAAUUGGUCUCCUUGUUUAUUGAAACUUUUUGCUCAGAAAAUAAAAUUCAUAGAUUUCUCCAAGUGAUUUCUGUAUAUAACCGAACAUGAUAAUAAAUACUGA